RNAcentral lists this ribosomal RNA (106 nucleotides) under Acacia victoriae. RNAcentral's name for it is "partial large subunit ribosomal RNA". It matches the Rfam family "Eukaryotic large subunit ribosomal RNA", at positions 1 to 105 of the family's 3401-position model. The record is from RNAcentral. Lineage: Eukaryota; Viridiplantae; Streptophyta; Magnoliopsida; Fabales; Fabaceae.
CGCGACCCCAGGUCAGGCGGGGCUACCCGCUGAGUUUAAGCAUAUCAAUAAGCGGAGGAAAAGAAACUAAGCGACAUCCCCUAGUACCGGCGAGCGAACCGGGGAA